UAGGGAAUCUUCGGCAAUGGACGAAAGUCUGACCGAGCAACGCCGCGUGAGUGAAGAAGGUUUUCGGAUCGUAAAACUCUGUUGUUAGAGAAGAACAAGGACGUUAGUAACUGAACGUCCCCUGACGGUAUCUAACCAGAAAGCCACGGCUAACUACGUGCCAGCAGCCGCGGUAAUACGUAGGUGGCAAGCGUUGUCCGGAUUUAUUGGGCGUAAAGCGAGCGCAGGCGGUUUCUUAAGUCUGAUGUGAAAGCCCCCGGCUCAACCGGGGAGGGUCAUUGGAAACUGGGAGACUUGAGUGCAGAAGAGGAGAGUGGAAUUCCAUGUGUAGCGGUGAAAGGCGUAGAUAUAUGGAGGAACACCAGUGGCGAAGGCGGCUCUCUGGUCUGUAACUGACGCUGAGGCUCGAAAGCGUGGGGAGCAAACAGG
This 429-nucleotide ribosomal RNA is filed under the name Chloroflexota bacterium. RNAcentral describes it as "Chloroflexi bacterium partial 16S ribosomal RNA". It matches the Rfam family "Bacterial small subunit ribosomal RNA", at positions 355 to 776 of the family's 1533-position model. Lineage: Bacteria; Bacillati; Chloroflexota. RNAcentral also lists the same sequence under 1 other name. The record is from RNAcentral.